This 693-nucleotide ribosomal RNA is filed under the name Enterococcus faecium. Its description in RNAcentral is "bacterial SSU rRNA". It matches the Rfam family "Bacterial small subunit ribosomal RNA", at positions 805 to 1497 of the family's 1533-position model. The record is from RNAcentral. Lineage: Bacteria; Bacillati; Bacillota; Bacilli; Lactobacillales; Enterococcaceae.
AACGAUGAGUGCUAGUGUUGGAGGGUUUCCGCCCUUCAGUGCUGCAGCUAACGCAUUAAGCACUCCGCCUGGGGAGUACGACCGCAAGGUUGAAACUCAAAGGAAUUGACGGGGGCCCGCACAAGCGGUGGAGCAUGUGGUUUAAUUCGAAGCAACGCGAAGAACCUUACCAGGUCUUGACAUCCUUUGACCACUCUAGAGAUAGAGCUUCCCCUUCGGGGGCAAAGUGACAGGUGGUGCAUGGUUGUCGUCAGCUCGUGUCGUGAGAUGUUGGGUUAAGUCCCGCAACGAGCGCAACCCUUAUUGUUAGUUGCCAUCAUUCAGUUGGGCACUCUAGCAAGACUGCCGGUGACAAACCGGAGGAAGGUGGGGAUGACGUCAAAUCAUCAUGCCCCUUAUGACCUGGGCUACACACGUGCUACAAUGGGAAGUACAACGAGUUGCGAAGUCGCGAGGCUAAGCUAAUCUCUUAAAGCUUCUCUCAGUUCGGAUUGCAGGCUGCAACUCGCCUGCAUGAAGCCGGAAUCGCUAGUAAUCGCGGAUCAGCACGCCGCGGUGAAUACGUUCCCGGGCCUUGUACACACCGCCCGUCACACCACGAGAGUUUGUAACACCCGAAGUCGGUGAGGUAACCUUUUUGGAGCCAGCCGCCUAAGGUGGGAUAGAUGAUUGGGGUGAAGUCGUACAAAAGGG